Centruroides sculpturatus (bark scorpion) is the source of this 246-nucleotide long non-coding RNA. RefSeq lists it as uncharacterized. The record is from RefSeq and is a predicted model, not a curated record. The transcript has 3 exons. NCBI's taxonomy places the organism in Eukaryota, Metazoa, Arthropoda, Arachnida, Scorpiones, Buthidae.
UAGAUCACAAUUACGCAUAUGACGAUGAAGUUGAUUCGUUCUUUCUCUCUCUUCUUAAUUUUUGUUACCAGCUUGUUUGAUGGUUCGUGUGGAAGAAAAAGCGGGAAGGGACGAGAAAAGUAUUAUUGUCAAGGCGAUAAUUGCAUAAGCAAAGAAGAAUUUAUUGAACACAAGAAAUAUCCUACUAUGGAUGAUUUCAUGCGACAUAUGCCUGUGAUCGGAACAAUGUAUACUAAAUUAUUCACA